GUUUACGGCCCAUACCAGCCUGGGUACGCCCGAUCUCGUCUGAUCUCGGAAGCUAAGCAGGGUCGGGUCUGGUUAGUACUUGGAUGGGGAGACCGCCUGGGAAUACCAGGUGCUGUAAGCU
RNAcentral lists this ribosomal RNA (121 nucleotides) under Salmo trutta (river trout). The record is from RNAcentral. Lineage: Eukaryota; Metazoa; Chordata; Actinopteri; Salmoniformes; Salmonidae.